ACGAGAAAGUGGAGCAAUCCACGAGUAAAGUGGCGACCGGGUGAGUAACACGUGACUAACCUGCCUUCGAGUGGGGGAUAACCUCGGGAAACCGGGGCUAAUACCGCAUAAUGCCUUCGGGUUAAAGGAGCAAUUCGCUUGAAGAGGGGGUCGCGGCUGAUUAGCUAGUUGGCGGGGUAACGGCCCACCAAGGCGAUGAUCGGUAGCCGGCCUGAGAGGGCGCACGGCCACACUGGAACUGAAACACGGUCCAGACUCCUACGGGAGGCAGCAGUGGGGAAUUUUGCGCAAUGGGGGAAACCCUGACGCAGCAACGCCGCGUGGAGGAUGAAGUCCCUUGGGACGUAAACUCCUUUCGACCGGGACGAUUAUGACGGUACCGGUGGAAGAAGCCCCGGCUAACUUCGUGCCAGCAGCCGCGGUAAUACAAGGGGGGCGAGCGUUGUUCGGAAUUAUUGGGCGUAAAGGGCGCGUAGGCGGUGCGGUAAGUCACCUGUGAAACCUCUGGGCUUAACUCAGAGCCUGCAAGCAAAACUGCCGUGCUGGAGUGUGGGAAACGUGCGUGAAAUUCCCGGUGUAGCGGUGAAAUGCAUACAUAUCGAGAGAAACACCUGUGGCGAAAGCGGCCUCACUGGACCUCUACUUGACGCUAAGGCACCAAAAGCCUAGGGGAACAAACACGAUUACAUACCCCUGGUAGUCCUAGCCCUAAAACAAUGAAUGCUUGGUGUGUUGGGGUUACCUAAUUCCCUAACGUUCCCGAAUUCUAAACUUUAAAA
RNAcentral lists this ribosomal RNA (779 nucleotides) under uncultured soil bacterium. Its description in RNAcentral is "bacterial SSU rRNA". It matches the Rfam family "Bacterial small subunit ribosomal RNA", at positions 66 to 863 of the family's 1533-position model. The record is from RNAcentral.